This 897-nucleotide ribosomal RNA is filed under the name Podospora tetraspora. RNAcentral describes it as "LSU rRNA". It matches the Rfam family "Eukaryotic large subunit ribosomal RNA", at positions 37 to 967 of the family's 3401-position model. The record is from RNAcentral. Lineage: Eukaryota; Fungi; Ascomycota; Sordariomycetes; Sordariales; Podosporaceae.
AGCAUAUCAAUAAGCGGAGGAAAAGAAACCAACAGGGAUUGCCCCAGUAACGGCGAGUGAAGCGGCAACAGCUCAAAUUUGAAAUCUGGCCUCGGCCCGAGUUGUAAUUUGCAGAGGAAGCUUCUGGUGCGGCGCCGUCCGAGUCUCCUGGAACGGAGCGCCAUAGAGGGUGAGAGCCCCGUAUGGACGGAUGCCAAACCUGUGUGAAGCUCCUUCGACGAGUCGAGUAGUUUGGGAAUGCUGCUCUAAAUGGGAGGUAAAUUCCUUCUAAAGCUAAAUAUUGGCCAGAGACCGAUAGCGCACAAGUAGAGUGAUCGAAAGAUGAAAAGCACUUUGAAAAGAGGGUUAAACAGCACGUGAAAUUGUUGAAAGGGAAGCGCUUGUGACCAGACUUGAGCGCGGCGGAUCAUCCGGUGUUCUCACCGGUGCACUCCGCCGUGCCCAGGCCAGCAUCGGCUUCCGCGGGGGGACAAAGGUCCCGGGAACGUAGCUCCUCCGGGAGUGUUAUAGCCCGGGGCGCAAUGCCCCCGCGGGGGCCGAGGACCGCGCAUCUGCAAGGAUGCUGGCGUAAUGGUCAUCAGCGACCCGUCUUGAAACACGGACCAAGGAGUCAAGGUUUUGCGCGAGUGUUUGGGUGUUAAACCCGCACGCGUAAUGAAAGUGAACGUAGGUGAGAGCUUCGGCGCAUCAUCGACCGAUCCUGAUGUAUUCGGAUGGAUUUGAGUAGGAGCGUUAAGCCUUGGACCCGAAAGAUGGUGAACUAUGCUUGGAUAGGGUGAAGCCAGAGGAAACUCUGGUGGAGGCUCGCAGCGGUUCUGACGUGCAAAUCGAUCGUCAAAUCUGAGCAUGGGGGCGAAAGACUAAUCGAACCAUCUAGUAGCUGGUUACCGCCGAAGU